GCGUCCUCCAAAGGCAAGGAUCACCUUGAGCUAUAAUCUUGGAUUUCUUUUGAAUUUAGGAGAUCACCAAAUCAGGAGCAGUAGACCCAGGGAUCUUAGAAGGCUUCCAGUAGAUGUCUUCUUUGGGAUUUAUGUCUUAAUGCUUAUGUCUUUGCAUCAGUUGUAUUAUUGGUUAAGAACCUCCUUGUAGGUCAUGCUGUAUUUUUAUUUA
This is a long non-coding RNA of Dioscorea cayenensis subsp. rotundata (Guinea yam), 211 nucleotides long. RefSeq lists it as uncharacterized. The record is from RefSeq and is a predicted model, not a curated record. NCBI's taxonomy places the organism in Eukaryota, Viridiplantae, Streptophyta, Magnoliopsida, Dioscoreales, Dioscoreaceae. The transcript has 3 exons.